GUGGGAUGUUGGGUCUUCAUUUCAUUCUGAUAAUGAGCCGGCCCCUCCAAUGCCUGAUCCUCCUCGCAAAAUCUAAAACGAACCAACAGCGACCACAAAUGAUACUGCCAGACCGUAAGUCAUCCUUUCAUCAUCCUUUUACUCUACUAAUGAUUCAUGUAUGUCACGGUGUGGUGAGCAAGGAGUUAUAGGCUGUGCUAGUGAGGAUCUGGUAUGUGUAAUGAUAGGAAGUAUGGGGUGAUGUGAUGAGGAACAGGUGUGUGUAAUGAUGGGAAGUAUGGGGUGAUGUGAUGAGGAACAGGUGUGUGUAAUGAUGGGAAGUAUGGGGUGAUGUGAUGAGGAACUGGUGUGUGUAAUGAUAGGAAGUAUGGGGUGAUGUGAUGA
Esox lucius (northern pike) is the source of this 384-nucleotide long non-coding RNA. The record is from Ensembl. NCBI's taxonomy places the organism in Eukaryota, Metazoa, Chordata, Actinopteri, Esociformes, Esocidae.